GGGGAUGUAGCUCAGUGGUAGAGCGCCCGCUUCGCAACCUAGUGGGAAUGCGGGAGGUCUAGAGUUCAAUCCUCUACAUCUCCA
This is a non-coding RNA of Lophiotrema nucula, 84 nucleotides long. Lineage: Eukaryota; Fungi; Ascomycota; Dothideomycetes; Pleosporales; Lophiotremataceae. The record is from the annotation of a GenBank genome assembly.